This 241-nucleotide ribosomal RNA is filed under the name uncultured bacterium. RNAcentral's name for it is "partial 16S ribosomal RNA". It matches the Rfam family "Bacterial small subunit ribosomal RNA", at positions 99 to 334 of the family's 1533-position model. The record is from RNAcentral.
CGAACGGGUGAGUAACACGUGGGUAAUCUGCCCUCGGUUCCGGGAUAGCCCGGGGAAACUCGGAUUAAUACCGGAUAGCCUCACGAACCUUCGGGGGAGUGAGAAAAGGUAGCUUUGGCCUCUGACCGAGGAUGAGCCCGCGGUGGAUUAGCUUGUUGGCGGGGUAACGGCCCACCAAGGCGACGAUCCAUAGCUGGUCUGAGAGGACGAUCAGCCACACUGGGACUGAGACACGGCCCAG